AUGGGCAGUUCACUGGACACCUUGAUGAAUCAUACGAAUGAACAAGCAAAAGCUUCAGGUCAACACUCAUUUUAUUCAUUUAAUCAGAGGACUAUAGUUCAACUCAUGCUCUUCACGUAUGAGAAAUAUGGGCUAACAUAUUCACCAUUUCAACUGUGGGUUAACUGCAAUUUAGAACUGUACUGGUUUAAAUAUCCCCAUUGCAAUGUGCCAAGAUGGGUCAUGCAAAAUGCCACUGAUGGAUACCAAGAUAACAUAUAUUCAGAAUGUAUCACACAGUACAGAAAGACAAGUUUGCUGUCAUAA
This 306-nucleotide ribosomal RNA is filed under the name Triticum aestivum (bread wheat). Its description in RNAcentral is "partial small subunit ribosomal RNA". The record is from RNAcentral. Lineage: Eukaryota; Viridiplantae; Streptophyta; Magnoliopsida; Poales; Poaceae.